GUGGGUAGAGCUCAGUGGUAGAGCGCAUGCUAAGCAUGCAUGAGGUUCUGGGUUCGAUCCCCAAUACUUUCA
This 72-nucleotide transfer RNA is filed under the name Camelus bactrianus (Bactrian camel). It matches the Rfam family "tRNA". Rfam says of the family: Transfer RNA (tRNA) molecules are approximately 80 nucleotides in length. Their secondary structure includes four short double-helical elements and three loops (D, anti-codon, and T loops). Further hydrogen bonds mediate the characteristic L-shaped molecular structure. tRNAs have two regions of fundamental functional importance: the anti-codon, which is responsible for specific mRNA codon recognition, and the 3' end, to which the tRNAs corresponding amino acid is attached (by aminoacyl-tRNA synthetases). tRNAs cope with the degeneracy of the genetic code in two manners: having more than one tRNA (with a specific anti-codon) for a particular amino acid; and 'wobble' base-pairing, i.e. permitting non-standard base-pairing at the 3rd anti-codon position. Lineage: Eukaryota; Metazoa; Chordata; Mammalia; Artiodactyla; Camelidae. RNAcentral also lists the same sequence under 1 other name. The record is from Rfam by way of RNAcentral.